ACGAUUAUUAUAACCGCCGUUUGCAAAUUUUGAACAACCGAGAAAAAUGAAGCAGUUCUGAUUCCAAAUGAACGUCAGGGAGAAUUGAAAAUUGUGGAAAUCCAGGAAGUUUGCACAUUUCGAAGAUGUUUAAAAUGAAGUAGAAACUAAUUAUUUAUGUUACCAAUUUUUAUGUGAUUACUGUAUGUAUUAAUAUAUAUUGAAAAUUAUUUUAUCAAGUUGCAUUUAA
Molecule: unclassified non-coding RNA, 229 nt
Filed under: Caenorhabditis elegans
Lineage: Eukaryota; Metazoa; Nematoda; Chromadorea; Rhabditida; Rhabditidae
Description: Non-coding transcript of protein-coding gene D1054.19b
Source: RNAcentral